AAACAAUUUUAGUAUAAGAGACUGCUUGUGCCUGAACAAAGCAUAUACCGGAGCGAGGCUUAGCCAUUGCACUUCGCCUGAGUGGACUCUUCGAUUAUUUAUAAUGCGAAUAAGUCGUAGGCGUAUUUUUUGGUAGCGAAGAAUGGCAUUCGUGUCAUCCUGAC
Bactrocera oleae (olive fruit fly) is the source of this 164-nucleotide non-coding RNA. The record is from RefSeq and is a predicted model, not a curated record. Lineage: Eukaryota; Metazoa; Arthropoda; Insecta; Diptera; Tephritidae.